This is a long non-coding RNA of Macadamia integrifolia, 4538 nucleotides long. RefSeq lists it as uncharacterized. The record is from RefSeq and is a predicted model, not a curated record. The transcript has 2 exons. NCBI's taxonomy places the organism in Eukaryota, Viridiplantae, Streptophyta, Magnoliopsida, Proteales, Proteaceae.
UCUUAGUUUGUUUUUUUUUUUUUUUUAUAUACUUAUGUUUACCUUACUACUCCACGAGACUCCAGGACUAGGUUAGAUGCUUUAGGCAUCGACUUUAAUUUACUACUGUUCUCUUAUUGGCUGUUAUUGAACUGUGUAGACUGUAGGCUCUCUUUCCUUUAUAUAAUCUGUAUCAUUGCAUAAGGGGCAAAGAGCCACAGAUGAAUUUUUGCGUGGUCUCUAAUCCAAGAUUGGUUUGAUUUACAAUGUUGGUGCUGUAUACUGCAACACUUACUCUAGGUUUGUGGUAUGUGCACAAGUUGUUUGCAUCAUCAGUUGUGAAUGAACAAGUUUCUUGUUACUAAUUAAGAAAUAGAUCAGGAAAAAAUUAAAAACAUGGGCCAUAUUUUAUUGCUUUUUUUUUUUUUUUUUAUGAAAAAUGAUCACUUAACACAUUGGUUUGAGUAUUGCUUGCAUAGGGUGGGCAUUAUUGAUUCAAAUUCAAUACUAGGUAUACCUCAUUUGCUACAAGAUUCAGUGGCAUCUAAUACAUUUUUUCAAGCACGGGAAGGGGGGGAGAGCAGGUCAUUUUUUAUUUUUAAUUUUUUCUUGAGUUUUUCUUAUUCAAGUUUUGGGUGGGCAGUAUGGUGAUGACUAAUUGGCUAACGUCAAUAGACACUUCAAAAUUUAUUCUACAUGCAUAGAUGACAUUUCUAAAGUGAAACUUCCAUGUUCAUGGUGACAACUAAGCUGUUUGUAUGAGAUCUCUGGCAAUGGAGCACUGGAUAUUGGUGACUAGCUUUCAGGCUAUUCUGACCCUCAAAACAGUGGAGAGAGGUUAUUUGAUGCAGACAGCCAUAGAUUUCCCCCUAAGUCGGGGUUUAAACCAAAAUCUUAUGAAUUAGAGUUGGGCUUGGUUUUGGAGGUUUGGAAGGGGAGGCUUGAACAAUUGGUCUUGUAGCAGAAUGAGAAAGUAUGGUCAAGUGUAAACUUACAGUAUGUCGAGGAUCGGGGAUUUAUAUAUGCUUGAAUGUGGAUGGAGUAUAUGGGCCGAUGCAGUUGGUAUUGUGACUGGCUUUGGGAAGAUCUAUGGCUAAGAUAUUACAGGUUUAUACGGCUGUGAUCUCUGGUCUCCUUGCAUCAACUUUCAUCUUUAUGGUAUCCUAAUCACCUAACAGUCUUGACCAGGAUUCUGCAGGAAAACCAGAAUUGCAGGGAUAAGUGUGGAUCAGAUUCAGGAUGAAAAUCUGUGGCUCACAAUCCAGCUAUAAAAAAUUCAGGUCGAAUGGUCUAUCCAGGUCAAGACCUAACCCUCAAAAUCUCACAUUAAUCCAACGGUGGAUUGGGAGGUGUGGACUAGGCCAGAAAAUAGGAUCUCAAGUCAAAAUUAGAAAUUCAGGAAUUUUAGAUGUAUUUUGAGAUUGGUAACUUCUAAAGUGAUAGGAUUCAGAAACUCUUGACAGUCAAGAAAUUAGAAAGCUUCUAAAUUUGGAAGAUGUUUGAAAAUGGUAACUGAUGAGCCUCAGUACUGUAGCACCAUGCGCAGAUCAGUAGCUUAAUAAAUUGAAUUCAAAUAAGCCAACAUAAUAGGAUACUUAAAAUUAGUAGCCUUCAAAAGAAGAAAAAAAAGAGAGAAGGUGGGUGAACAAUGAUCAGAACAAGGGAGCACUGGUAUGCGACUACAGUAUUGGUAUUCCAAUGCUCCUCUUGUAGUGAUCAGACUUACUGUAACAAGGACUGAAGAUAUGCUCUGCAACAUGGGGUGAGUUUUGAAAAUAGAAACCCAGACUAUGACAAAGAGGAACUGAAAAUUGGAUACCUUGUCAACUGUAGGAAAUGUAGAACGACGGCUGACUUGAGGUGUGCAGUUGAAGAUGAAGAAUUGAAAGAAGAACAUGGAAAUGUUGGUCUCCUAUAGAAGAUGGCCUCUCACCAAUCUCCAUCUUGGAAUCUCACCUAGGUUUGCUCUCUCUCGCAGCUGGCCUCUCAUACUAACGCACAUGAACAUAGCAAGGUUCUAUUUUCUUUCAAAACCCCGCCCGGGGGGGGGGGUGGACUGGCCCUUCUUUAUUAAUAGAAUUGCCUUGCUACACAGGAAGGGAACUCUCCUUAGGUAAGGGAGAGUUUUAAUAGAAUAGAAACUAAAUAAAAGCUUACAAAAAUAGAAACUCAUAUGUAGAAACCUAAUAUACUAAAUGACUAUGAAACAGAAACUAGAAUCUUAAACAGAAAAUAAUCUCCAAAGAAUAUUCUCCACAUGAGGCAGCUUUAUGACUUCUUGAAACUCCUCCACACAGCUGACUGGUCCUAAAACAGACUCAUAUUGAACCCACAAAGAACCAAACUAAACCCGACCAGGUUAACUCAGGGCUGGACCUAGUUUAGGCCUUUAUUUGUGCGGGAAUGUUUCUGCUGGAACCUCUGAUCCACAUCACAUCAACUCGUCAUUUCUCUAGCUUUUCAGGUUGUGAGACGGUUUGGUUUUAGGAAAUUUGCAGUUAUAUUUCUGAAUGUGAAUAUUCUGCUUCAACUGAAUAUAACAACGUGAAUGCCAUAGUGAAUUGGCAUCCAAGGUACUGUUGGGUCACAUAUACCAUGGUUGUCAUGUUUGAGGAUCCCCCCCCCCCCCCUUCUUAUAUUGCAAGAGAAAAUCCGGCGAAUGAAAAGAUUAAGGUCUGAAGCAUUGUGAAUUGAAUUGGCUGAUACACGUCAAUUGGUAGAGGCCGAUCGGAUGUUACCUCUUGGAAGAGAUGAUUUGGUUCUAUGGAAGUUGAAAUUACAGUCUCUGGUAUAAAGCAUGUGCUUGCAAGAGUGCUUUGCCUCUCAGAAAGGAUACAAGUGCUAUCAUCCUCCUACUGGUUGCCUCUUUGUUACUGUUGAUGUCACCUUUCACGAAUCUGAAUCAUACUUCCAAUCAUCUCUUGAGGGGGAGAAUGUUAUGACCAAGAUUCCUUCUAGUACCUUUCUCAUUGACACUAUUUGUAUUGAGGGGGAGGACAGAAGCGGUUCCUACUGAGGGGGAGGUUGGUGAUGCUCUAAUUCUGGAAUUGACCAGCAGAAGACAAAGCAGCCCAUCACCGGCCUACCAUGUCGAUCGGUACUUCCUGAUUCACCUGCAUUCUAGUAAGCUGCCACUGAUCCCAAGUGGAAGGAAGCCAUGAUGGAAGAAAUUAAGGUUCUGGGAAAAAAUGGCACUUGGGACCUUGUUACUCUCCCAAGAGGAAAAAUACCAGUGGGAUGCAAAUGGGUUGACUGUAAAGAAAAAAGCAUAGGGCAGUAUUGACCGAUACAAGGCCAAGUUGGUUGCAAAAGCCUUUACCCAAACCUAUGGCAUCGAUUACCAAGUUACAUUUGUUCUAGUAGCAAAGAUGAACCCAGUUCAGGUACUCCUAUCAUGUGCUACAAACCUUGGGUGGAGUCUUCAACAACUAUAUAUUAAAAAUGCUAUCCUCCUCGGUGAUCUUGGAGAAGUGUACAUGGAUACACCUCCAGGUUUCACCUCAUCAUCUACAAAUGGAAAGGUGUGCAAGUUGAGGAAAUCUUUGUAUGGGCUCAAACAGUCACCAGGAGCUUGGUUCGACAGGUUUCUAAAGGCCAUGUGGAAAUUUGGAUACAUACAAAGUUAUCUUGAUCAUGCCUUGUUUAUAAAUUGAAAUGACAGUAAGAUCACUACUCCUAUCGUCUAUGUUGAUGAUAUAGUAGUAACAACCUUGCAGGUUGUGAUGACGUAGAGAUAUCCAAGUUAAAGGAUCAGUUGGCCGAGGAUUUAAAACCAAAGAUUUAGGCCCUCUCAAAUAUUUCUCGGAAAUAGAGGUAGCCAGAUCCAAUAAUGGUAUUAUUAUUUCCCAACGAAUAUGUCCUAGACCUUCUCUGCAAAACUGGUAUGAUUGGUUGUAAGCCUGCACUCCCUUAUUGAGGUCAACCAUCAAAUCAGUAGCAAUGGUGCUGAACCUGUGGAUAAGGAAAGGCAUCAAAGGCUCGUUGGCAAAUUGAUAUCCCUAUCACAUGCCAUACCUGAUAUUGCCUAUGCUGUGGGAGUAGUGAGUCGGUGUCUACACGAUCCACAAACUGCACAUCUAGACACAGUACACUGGAUUCUGAGGUACCUAAAAUCUUCUCUUGGGAAGGGAAUUUUAUUCUCCGAUCAUGGCAAUCUGAAAUUGGAAGCCUUUGCUGAGCUGAUUGGACAGGUUAUAUAGAUGAUCGAUGAUCGACCUCUCCUAGGGGGAAUGUAGUUUCUUGGAGAAGUAAAAAAUGACCCAUGAUAUCUAGAUCAAAUGCUGAAGCAGAUUACCUCGCAAUGGCUCAAGUUGUAUGUGAACUCAUCAAGGAGAAAUUUGAACAAAGACUCUAUUUACAUUCUGUUUGUCAAGUCUGAAAAUCAGCUAACUGAUGUAUUUUUAAAGGGUUUUUACUUGUAAGGUGUUUCAUCCUAUUAUAUGAACGUUGGGCAUAUGAGAUAUCUGUGCAUCAACUUGAGGGGGAGUGUUAAGGAUAGGAUAAGUAUGCCACCUCGUAUAUGUGUGUACGUGUACCACCUAACUUUGUACCACUUUCCA